This is a long non-coding RNA of Mastacembelus armatus (zig-zag eel), 2671 nucleotides long. The record is from Ensembl. NCBI's taxonomy places the organism in Eukaryota, Metazoa, Chordata, Actinopteri, Synbranchiformes, Mastacembelidae.
GAUUAACUAAUGGGAGUGAUGUCACCCAGACUGACAAACUGUGGAAGAAUGAGAGUGAUGCUGCAACAAUACAUUGUAGUCACACUAAAGAUAGUUCAUAUCGGCAGAUGUACUGGUACAGACAGCUGCCAGGAGAGGGAAUGAAACAAAUUGUUUUUACAACUGCAUACAGCACUCAUGAAUAUGGAAGCGGCUUCAGUGUGGACAAAUUUCCAGCAACAAAAAAUGAUACUCAGACUGGAUCUUUAACAGUGAAAAAGCUGGUUCCUGAGGACAGUGGAGUGUAUUUCUGUGCUGUGAGUCAACACAGUGAUACAGGUGACUUAGACAGCUGCACAAAUACCCAAAUACUGGGGUCACUGUUAGCUGAGACAACAGUGUCUUUCAUUUUUCAUAGGGGGAGAUGUAGACAUGUAAAGCACAUUAAAACACAUUAAGAUUUUGGGGUAGUAUUAAGCAUGAUUUGUGUUAGACUGUAUUAUAAAAUGUUACACUGCAUUUAAAAAAAAUGUUUUUAGAGCAGUGAUAAUGUAAUUAAAUGCAAAAUGAAGUACAAUAAAUAAAAACACACACAUACACACACAACCUUUCGUCCAUUGUGAGUUUUUUUUUUUUAACAUAGGUUUACAUUAAUUUACUGGAGGCUUUUUUGCAUAUUUUUCAAUAAUUGGUUCAAAUAAAAAAAAAAUUCAAAUACAAACUUUAAAUACUUUUAAUUUAUACAUUUAAAUUUAUAAACUUUUAGGCACUAAAGUUGAUUACAAUUUUGUUGAUUAAUACCAUAUGAAAUAUAUUUUCAUAAGGUUGUUGUCUGCGAAGUUGCACACUAUGGGCAUAUGGGCAACCAAAGUCUUCCUCACAAUAUCAGAAUCUUUCUCCUCCCCUUUACAACACAUUGCUGCAGUACAAUCUGUUCCAUCUGUCAAUGUAGAGAGAGAGAGGAAAACACAGACAGACAUCAUGAUCAGAAACAUCAACUGGAUCACUCUGCUGCUUAUUUGCCUCUCCGGUUGUUCACUGAGCAAUAAAGUCGAUCAGACUCCAUCAUCAAUAUUAGGAACUCGUGAUCAUUUCACAACAAUCAGCUGCAGCCAUUCAGUCACUUCAUACAAUGUAAUCUUGUGGUACCAACAGCCAGUGGGUGACUCUGCUCUUAAACUCAUUGGAUAUAUUCAGUAUACUAAUCCAACUCUUGAGCAUUCAUUUCAGCAGCACUUCAAUGUGACUGGAGAUGGGUCAUCAAAAUCUCAACUUCACGUGCUGAAACUCAGACAGCCAGAAGACAGUGGCAUGUAUUACUGUGCAGCUAGUACACAGUGACUCAAUUACCUCCUCACCUCUACAAAAACUCUUUCUGAUAAUCCACCACAUAAACUUACAAUAGGCACACCUGCUUUAUUGCUUACAGCAGGAAAUCACCAAUGAUAAGCAUUAAAACCAUCUCUUCCUGCAUAACAUACCGAUGAAAACUUGAGAUGUCCUUAAUGUCAACCCCUCCUUCUCCUUUACAUCAAGACAGCUCUGUUCAGUUCGCAGUUAUCAUAGUGUCUUCAUCUGUGUCAGCGCCAUGAUCAGACUCUUCUUACACUUAGUAGCUGUGCCGUUCUGCUUAGCAGGUAACAAAUACAUAAGAAAUUAGCCUAAAUAUUUUAUUGGGUUUGUUUUCUUCAAUUCAAGAUAUGUGUUUUGCUUUUUUUCCACAGAACUCUCAAAAAACAAUGUUCGCCAAACUCCCACUGCUAUGAUCAAACAUUCUGGAGAAAAAAUUCUGAUAAACUGCAGCCAUUCAAGCACUAAAUUUGAUAUGAUUCAGUGGUACAAACAGUCUGUUGGGACAAAUGAUAUGGCUCUACUAGGCUACGUACGAUUCUCUUCUGCAGUUGUUGAAAAUACAUUCAAAAAUGAAUAUGACGUGAAAGGGCAUGGGAGCAGUUGGUCGUCCCUUCAUAUUCUAAACCUGACUGGAAUUGAGCCCAGCGUUGUGUAUUUCUGUGCUGCCAGUGAAGCACAGUGCUGCGUAAACGACUUUGACUUCAACAAAAACCUUCUGUGAUGCAGGCAGCAACACAGUCAUGCAGCUGCUGAUAAUAUCAUAAGCAACAAAUAAACCACAUCGUGAAUGACUGAUAUCAGACAACUGUCUCAUAAGACUGCUACAUUCUUCUUAUAACCAUUAGGGGGCAGUGUUUCCCCACCCAUUUCUGACUAACAAAAACAGAAAAAUUUAUUUUAUAUUUGAGACUUGUAUAGUAUAGUAUAGUAUAGUGAUAGAUGGAUGGAUGGCUAGAUGGAUAGAUAUAGAUAGAGAUAGUACUUUAUUCAUCCCAAAAUUCUGCUGAUGCAGCAGCAAAUUACAGGCACUCAACAUAAACAUAAAUCUCACAAGGAAAAGAAAACAAUAUAAGAAAUUAUUUUUAAAAAGAUAGAGGAAUAUAGAAAUUAUAUACAAAAUCAAUACACAAUAAGGGAGCAGACAACAUACAAUAAGUGUGCAAAAAAUCUCAAAGAGAGAACCUAUGUGCAAAUAUUGCCAGUUCAGACAGUCAGUCCAGGGUGUUAUCUGACACAUAGUGAACAUGUGUUGUACAGAGUUAUGAGGCAGGAAGGAUUUCCUGUAGCGAUCCUUAAGACAACAAAGCUGUCUGAGCCUUUUGGAGAAGCUGCUCCAUUG